GUGAAUACCUUGGCUUAACCAAGGAAGGGCAUUUGAAACUGCUUGGCUUGAGUACGGGAGGGGGAAGCGGAAUUCCCGGUGUAGAGGUGAAAUUCGUAGAUAUCGGGAGGAACACCGGUGGCGAAGGCGGCUUUCUGGACCGAUACUGACGCUGAGACGCGAAAGCGUGGGGAGCAAACAGGAUUAGAUACCCUGGUAGUCCACGCCCUAAACGUUGGGCACUAGGUGUUGUGGGUAUUGACCCCUUCAGUGCCAAGGGCGAAUUCCACAGUGGAUA
This 277-nucleotide ribosomal RNA is filed under the name uncultured bacterium. Its description in RNAcentral is "partial 16S ribosomal RNA". It matches the Rfam family "Bacterial small subunit ribosomal RNA", at positions 594 to 869 of the family's 1533-position model. The record is from RNAcentral.